Molecule: ribosomal RNA, 716 nt
Filed under: uncultured beta proteobacterium
Lineage: Bacteria; Pseudomonadati; Pseudomonadota; Betaproteobacteria
Description: bacterial SSU rRNA
Rfam family: Bacterial small subunit ribosomal RNA
Source: RNAcentral
GAACGGUAACGCGGGGCAACCUGGCGACGAGUGGCGAACGGGUGAGUAAUGCAUCGGAACGUGCCCAGUAGUGGGGGAUAGCCCGGCGAAAGCCGGAUUAAUACCGCAUACGACCUAUGGGUGAAAGCGGGGGAUCGCAAGACCUCGCGCUAUUGGAGCGGCCGAUGUCAGAUUAGGUAGUUGGUGGGGUAAAGGCCUACCAAGCCUACGAUCUGUAGCUGGUCUGAGAGGACGACCAGCCACACUGGGACUGAGACACGGCCCAGACUCCUACGGGAGGCAGCAGUGGGGAAUUUUGGACGAAUGGGGGCAACCCUGAUCCAGCCAUGCCGCGUGCGGGAAAGAAGGCCUUCGGGUUGUAAACCGCUUUUGUCGGGGAAAGAAAUCUUCUGGGCUAAUACCCCGGGAGGAUGACCGUACCCGAAGAAUAAGCACCGGCUAACUACGUGCCAGCAGCCGCGGUAAUACGUAGGGUGCAAGCGUUAAUCGGAAUUACUGGGCGUAAAGCGUGCGCAGGCGGUCGCACAAGGCAGAUGUGAAAUCCCCGGGCUUAACCUGGGAACUGCAUUUGUGACUGUGCGGCUGGAGUGCGGCAGAGGGGGAUGGAAUUCCGCGUGUAGCAGUGAAAUGCGUAGAUAUGCGGAGGAACACCGAUGGCGAAGGCAAUCCCCUGGGCCUGCACUGACGCUCAUGCACGAAAGCGUGGGGAGCAAACA